This 78-nucleotide transfer RNA is filed under the name Bacteroidaceae bacterium. RNAcentral describes it as "tRNA-Arg". It matches the Rfam family "tRNA". Rfam says of the family: Transfer RNA (tRNA) molecules are approximately 80 nucleotides in length. Lineage: Bacteria; Pseudomonadati; Bacteroidota; Bacteroidia; Bacteroidales; Bacteroidaceae. The record is from RNAcentral.
GCGGCUGUAAUUCAAUUAGGAUAGAAUAGCGGAUUUCUACUCCGUAUGUUGAGGGUUCGAGUCCUUCCAGCCGUGCCA